Molecule: long non-coding RNA, 514 nt
Filed under: Nicotiana benthamiana
Lineage: Eukaryota; Viridiplantae; Streptophyta; Magnoliopsida; Solanales; Solanaceae
Description: long non-coding RNA (NBEN_LNC007022)
Source: RNAcentral
AAUUGUCAAUGAAGUUUCAGCCACAUUAGUGGCAACAACAACUAGGCGUUCUCCUUCCUUGACCUCUUCAAACACGCGAAGCUGUGCAGAUGCAGGAAGCAUAGCAUAAAGAGGUAAAACACACAUCGGACCAGCAAAGGUUCCAUUAGCCCCAUUCCUAACCUUACUUAAGAGAGGUUCAGAUUCAUUUGAAGCUCCUUCUUCACGACCAGCACAGGUUUCACUAGCCCCAUUCUUAACCUUACUUAAGAGAGGUUCAGAUUGAUUAGAAGCUCCUUCUUCACUGAUAGAAACAAGUUCCUGUUCGCCGGAAUCAGGUUGUGAUGUCCUUUUACAAUCCAAUGUUUCAAAAGCAGCCUUCAGUGAUGUAAGGCUUCCCUCCUCACCUAAAACAUCUAACAUACUGUUAGAUAUGUAAAUAUAGUAGAACCCUAGUUAUAGUAGAACUCUAGGUUAUUAGUAUUAUAUAUAGGGCUCAUUGUAUUAUGUUUAAUAUCAGUUAUAUUCUUCUCCC